CCCACCCCAACACACAAAGAGCGGGAACCUUGUCGGUGUUGUUCACUGCCCCAUCUCUAACACUUCAAACAAUGCCUAGUGCUCAAUAAAUAUUUCAGUGACUGGCCCUUUGUUUUACAGAUGUGAAAAACUAAGACACAGAGCAGUUAAAAGAUCUAAUGACAGAACUCAGAAUGGAACACAGGUCUCCUACUUCUAGACUCAUGUUUUUGAGGAGAUCCGUGGAUCAGCAUCUCUCCUGGUCAGGACCACAGAGGCCUUCCACCCGCUGUGUGAAGCUUCGUUGGAUGCCAGCUUCAAAAGCAAAAGAAACCAGCAUAUCAUUUGUCUGAUCUGUUCAGUGCCUAUGCAAUGCUUGGCAUAAAAAGGGGGAGAAUAAAUAAGAAGAAAGAGGUACAGAGAAGGAGUCAGAAAGAAAAGGAAAGAAGGAAAUCAAAAUAGAAAAGAGAAAAGGUGGGAAAGAGAGAUAAAAGAGAAAAAUGAGAGAGAAGAAAAGACAGCCAAAAAAGAAACAGGUGAGAAAAAUACAUAGGGACAACUAAAAUAUUUUAUGGGUAAGAAAAAGAGUUGAAGA
RNAcentral lists this long non-coding RNA (574 nucleotides) under Pan troglodytes (chimpanzee). Its description in RNAcentral is "lncRNA (ENSPTRG00000054162.1)". Lineage: Eukaryota; Metazoa; Chordata; Mammalia; Primates; Hominidae. The record is from RNAcentral.